This is a long non-coding RNA of Danaus plexippus (monarch butterfly), 619 nucleotides long. RefSeq lists it as uncharacterized. The record is from RefSeq and is a predicted model, not a curated record. NCBI's taxonomy places the organism in Eukaryota, Metazoa, Arthropoda, Insecta, Lepidoptera, Nymphalidae. The transcript is spliced from 5 exons.
GCGCGGGGGUCCGGGGACUGAACGCGGACACCUCCAGCGAGGGCGGAGGCACCCGGGGGGCCGGAGUACCCGACCACUCACCCCACACACCUGUCGUCUCUCUCAGCCAGCACGUCAGGCGGUGCGUGGUCGCGUGCGGUUCGGCCCCACCUCGCAGCCCCCGGCCCUGCCUCCAGUGACACUCGGGCUUCGCCCUCCUCCAACGCGACUAGAAUCUCCGCAUCGAAUACCUAACAUCACCGUGGCAGCUACUGAAUCUGUUGAACGAACUCCUGACCGUGUAAAUCAAGACUCCUCAUACCACGAGCAAUGUGAUAGUAUUGUUAUUCAAACAUUUGAGAAACCACGUAAUCUGAGCUAUCUGUACUGAGAAUGGUCCGAAGCAGGCGUCUACGAAGUGAGCGUAGUCUCUGAGCGGCCGUUCUAUGGCGGCCUCUACUUCAGUCGCCCACGUGGCGAGGGAUUCAAGCUCGCCUCGAGCACACACCGCGGCCAACGCCUGGGCGGCCCUGUACAGAGGCGUGUGUGAGCAGAGCUGGUCCGGCGACUCUGCGACAGAACCGCGAGUCGUGAGCCGGGACCCGGGCGCCUCGCACCAACAACACGCGCCACGACACCG